ACCAGAUGGGCAAUGGAAACAAGAUAACCAAAUCAGCCACCUUUGAUGAUAAUAUUUUUGCUUCUAGAAAUUGGAACAGUAUUCUGUAGCCCAGGUCCAUCUUAAGUCUUAAAGAGAGUAGUGACAAGCCAUUCAGAAUUAUGAAAAAAAAAACGACGCUUACUUCUAUUGAUCUGUUUUCAUCACCAAUUACAUCCAAAGCUUCCAGCAUGGUGCCCGUCGAUCCUCCGAUAAGAAGUACCGUUAAAACAACAAUAGCUGUGGUGGUUGUGAA
Long non-coding RNA from Oryza sativa Japonica Group (Japanese rice), 274 nucleotides. RefSeq lists it as uncharacterized. The record is from RefSeq and is a predicted model, not a curated record. NCBI's taxonomy places the organism in Eukaryota, Viridiplantae, Streptophyta, Magnoliopsida, Poales, Poaceae.